RNAcentral lists this long non-coding RNA (815 nucleotides) under Mus musculus (house mouse). RNAcentral's name for it is "long non-coding RNA chr5:44224509-44225324". Lineage: Eukaryota; Metazoa; Chordata; Mammalia; Rodentia; Muridae. The record is from RNAcentral.
AGAGCAGAAGAGAGAAGCACUUGGGGGUGAACAAAAAGAACGCCUGGAUUUCUAAGUGAGUGGGGAUGCCGUGGCCAACUGCAGACCCAGUCACAGGUAGACAUGCAUCAGCAACAGUGAGAGCUUCCUGGCUCUUAGAACAGACACCAGGGGUCAGAAGAAGGUGGUUCACACCGAGUCCACACAGGAAAACCACUGGCUGGUACUUCUGAAAUGUUCCUGGGAUGCCUGCCUAGAUCCCUAAUGCCAUCUACCAAAGCGGGAGUAACCACUAUCUUUUCCCUCAUACAAGACUGAUGGAAACAAGGAGGGCCACCCCAAUAGCCACGGCUUCAUGCCGGCUCCCUAGUAAGGACUUUCUGCCACUGCAGGUUGAAAAUCCAGGUUUAAACCUGUUAAGUAUAUGAUGCUCAGUGCACUGCCUCUGUGAUGAAUGAGUGUGUGCUAUGAUGUUAAAUUUAUACAAGUCCAAGUAUCCAGCUCAGCCCAGGGGUGCUCACUACUUCAAAAGUUCAAGGUCUGUGUUAGUACCAGGGAAGAAUAAAUGCACUUCACUUCAGAAGUUCAAGGUCUGUGUUCACCAAAGGCUCUGCACAGCUUCAUUGUCUUUCUUCAUGCAAACAACAUAAAGGCUUUCCUGAAGCUUGAAAAGAUUUCAAAGAAACCGUAGUGAAACCUGGUCGCAUCUAUUUGCUUGCCCUAGUCAAGUCUAAGUGAACAAGCGGCUGAGAGAUUGAAGACUUUGGUUUACUUAGGUAUUGCCAAUUUAGAAAGCAAACAUUCCUGCAAGCAAGUGUUUAACUGACAACUAAACC